RNAcentral lists this long non-coding RNA (5189 nucleotides) under Homo sapiens (human). Its description in RNAcentral is "non-protein coding lnc-CAPN9-1:6". Lineage: Eukaryota; Metazoa; Chordata; Mammalia; Primates; Hominidae. The record is from RNAcentral.
GCACCGCCGCGUACCCGGGUCUCCAAGCCAACCCAGCUCCCCAAGCCCCGGGACCCCGGCCCUCCGUGGCCCCCUCCCCGGGAGCUCCUCCCUCCGGGCCCCCCCCCGCCACCCCCUCGCGGACCCCACGAGUCCCCCUUUACGCCUCCAUAGUGGAUUACCGCGGUGCCCGCAGGUUUCGGGCUCCCCUUACCCGGCUCAGGUGGUAGCCGGCGUGUCCCUGAGUCCGCGCCCGGCGCUCUGAGAGGGUGGCCGUGGUUAAUUCCCGGUAGUGACCGCCAUAGCGCCACGUGGCCACUGCUUGACAAAGGAAACUUUUUUCAACCUCCAGUGAGCCUAAGAAAGCCCCAGCAUUUCAGGCCAAGCCGCUGGCUGCCUGGCUUCUGUUUUUACUCCUUUCCUUCUGUCCCUUUCUGGGACGAGCCACACCUUCUCUGCUUUCUCUGGGCCCGUCCAGGACGCUGGGCCCGGGGCCUGGCGCGGUGAGCUGCAGAUAGCCGGGGGCGCAGGGCAGCCCGGAGGCUGGAGGGCGACCUGGAAGGCUGGACCGGUUCGGGGCAUCUGGUGCUCAAGGAAAGUCAGCUCCCGCCGCCCCUCGGGGCCAGGUGGGUGCAUGAAGUACCCGGUGGCCCAGGUGCCUUUCCCCAACCCAAGGAGCUCAGAACUCUUGGCAGUUCGACGUUUGCAAACAAACCAAAGAGGAGCAGAAAGUUUUCAGACUCAGAGGCGACAUCCCAACAGCUUGGCUUGAAGGAGUACUUUAGGACUCAGAACAACAGGAUGAAGACAGCAGCUAAAAUAGAACACACCAGCAGAGACGUUCAGCUCCUUGAGCUGUGCUUCCGAAGCUCAAGCAUGGCAGAGUGGCCUUGUUAAAUCAGAGUUCAGGGUGCCACCCUGACAGUUUCUGAUUCCGUAGGUGCCCAGUAGGGACCAAGAAUCCUUUUUUUUUUUCCUUUUUCUUUUUAAUAGAGUCAGGGUCUUGCUAUGUUGCCCACAUGGGUCUCAAAUUCAAGCGAUCCUCCCACCUCGACCUCCCAAAGCACUGGAAUUCCAGGCAUAAGCCACCGUGCCUGGCCAAGAACGUUUUUUUUUUUAACAAGUUUCUAAAUGAUGCUGGUCUAUUGGUCCUGGGACCACACUUUGAAAUUGGUGGGAUAGGAGGCUGGGAUCUUUAUCCAUUCACUCAACUCCCAUUCCCCAUGGUUGAAAGUUUCCCUGGGGCAUCCCUGGGAGGCCUGGGGGCUGACAAGAUUCAAACGUUUUGGUGAAAAGCCCCAAGACAGUGAAGUGGGGUGUGCUUGAAGUGGGGCACCGUCAUCACCCACCUACCCACCACAGAGGUGAGCUAAAAGGUUACCAGACCGGAGCCUCCAGCAAUCCAGGAGCACAAACAAGGAUGCCUUAAAACAAAACUUGUGUCAGGGUACCCUUCGCUGCCUCAGAGGAAAUCAGAAUGACCUGGUGGACAACUGUUCAUAAGGACAAGAGCCAGUAUCACUGCCUUUGAGUCCCAGCCUCCUCAAAUCCAUUUUCUGCCCUGCACCACCUCAUCAUAUCCCGGAUAUUGUUAGUGUCGUGUCAUUUCAUGACUCAGGAGCUGCGGGUGACUUUGGUAAGAGCGGAGCGGUCGCUGUCUCAUCUGUCACCUCCUCCCUUCACCUCUGUGCAGCCAACGUCCAGGGAGCCUGCCUCUUGCUGUCCUUUUCAAAGCUUUCUGGGUCUCUCCUCUGUGCCUCUGAUCCAGUCUUUCAUGCUGCCCAGAACACUGUCUCUUUCUCCCAUGCCAGUGACAUCCAUUACUUUCUUCAAGGUCUGGCUCAAAACCCAGCACUCAGCCAGGCACGGUGGCUCACACCUGUAAUCCCACCACUUUGGGAGGCCAAAGCAGGCAGAUCACGAGGCCAGGAGAUUGAGACCAUCCUGGCUAACACAGUGAAACCCUGUCCUACUAAAAAUACAAAAAAUUAGACAGGCGUGGUGGCAGGUGCCUGUAGUCCCAGCUACUCGGGAGGCUGAGGCAGGAGAGUGGCAUGAACACGGGAGGCGGAGCUUGCAGUGAGCCAAGAUAGCAUCACUGCACUCCAGCCUGGGUGACAGAGCAAGACUCUGUCUCAAAAAAAAAAAAAACAAAAAACUCAGCACUCUUGGGAAAUUUCCCCUCCAGGGAGACAAGGUCACACAAGGCACAGAGAACCUUGGUGGGAGGCAGAAGCCCUAGGUUUGUUUAUGUCCUGGCUCAGACACUUUGCAGCCUCAUAGAUGACAUUAAACAAGCUCCUUAGCCUGUUAUCUUACUUUGGGCUACCCUAAAAGCAGAGACUAUGAUAUGGACUUGGAUAUGUGUAGUUAAUUUGGGAAGUGAUCCAGGGAAGCCGGAAUGAGGGGUGGGAAGUAGGAAAAAUCAAACAACUAUGUGUCAUUGAGCCCACUGCUCCUGUGGGCUACUGGAGAUCAGUCACACAGGGCACUCUCUGUGAACCGUGUUCAAAGCCCCUCAGAAUUGGCCCCCCAAAGAAUGGGAGGCUGGGAUCUCUAUCUGUUGACUCAACUCCUAUUCCCCAUGGUUGAAGGUUGCCCUGGGGGCACCAUUGGGGGCUGACAAGACUCAAAGGCUUUCGAGAAAAGCCCUGAAACAGUGAAGUGAGGUGUGCUGGAAGUGGAGCACGGUCACCACCCACCUGCGCACCACAGAGGCGGGCUAAGGGUGACGUAUGGCUGACAAAAGUCUUCUGCUCAAUACCUGUCUGUGCCUCAGUUUCUUCCUCUUUAAGAUGGGGUAACUAUCCACAUUUUAGGGUAGCGUCAAAUGACAGAGGUGACAUAUGCGAAGGCCCCUCCCUCAGCACAUGCCAGCCACCCCAGCUCCCUGACUGUGUCCACUCAACACUUACAACUGUUGUAUUCAUCAUGUCUACGUGCAUGUACGGUCCCUCAGUGUUAUCUAUGGCUAUUUCAGGUCUUUUAUCUUAGCUGAAGAUAAGGGCAGGUUCUUCCCUUCUUUUUUGUCACCCAUCCCAAAGUGCCUACCACACAGCUGAAUGCCAAGUAGGUCCUUGGUACAAAUGGGUGUCGAGUGAAUUUGCUGUCCCAAAAAAGUCAUCUGUGAGCCUGUUCUCUUCCACGGAGAUGCCCUGCAAGGCCAUGGAGAAGCCAUAGGGCAGCGUCCUAGCCUGCUUCUUACAGCUGAGAGACCAGCUCCAACAUUGCGUGAGCCCAUUGCCAAACUGCUGGUGAAGUACCAUGCUCUGUGGCAAACACAUGGCAGCUUGGGGAGGGAAGUCUUCUGACGCCCUGAGCCCUGGCAGGGCAAUGGGCAGUAGAUCAAGCUGGCCUGCCCUGCGUGGGCCCUCAGCAGGGAUGCAGGCGAGGCUCCCAGAAGACGAUGACUCAGGCCUGCAUCUGUGACUGGUUAUUCCAGAUGCUGCCCUGCAAUGGGACUGUUCUCUGCUCCCCCCACCCCCGACACCAGUACAGCACGGGAAUGCAUGAGAGUGAGCCUUGGUUUCUUUAGGGGAGUCACUGCGUAAUUGGAGAGCAGUGUUCAUGGGCAAGACAAAGGAGGGCCGGGGCAAGUAAGGGAAGAUGAGAAGAUGAUGUUCCAAACUACUCUCGGUAUAAAAUGUGCUUUGAAUAUUUUGGAUUAUUUUUCCAAUUGUAGAGAGAGUUUUCCCUGAGACACUGGUUCAUCACCAAGUCAGGUGACGCUGGGUCUGGGGCACUCUGCAUCUACAGCCUGGAACACAAUCGUCUUCUCUAGGCAAAACCACGUGACUCACAUGAGGCUCAAAGCUGGACCCUUCUUGCCGUCUAUACCAUACUUAGCAAAGACAACAGGCUUAACUGCUCUGUGAAAAAUGCUAAACAACUUCUCAAAAACAAUAAACAUCUUCUACCUACCUGAAUGUUUACAUUUAGACAGGCCUUUAAGAUUAUUAGUCUCUAUAAAAAUAUACAGGCAUACCUCAGAGAUAAUUCAAGUUCAGUUCCAGGCCACUGCAAUAAAGCAGAUAUCACAAUAAAGCAAGUCACACAAAUUUUGUGGUUCCCCAGUGCUUAUCAAAGCUGUGUUUGCACUAUACUAUAGCCUAUUAAGUGUGCAAUGAUAUUAUGUCUUUUAAAAAAGUACACAUGUUAUUUUAAAAAGACCUUAUUGACAAAAAGUGCUGACAGACACAAAGUGAGCACAUGCUCUUGGGGAAAAUGGCACCGAUAGACUCAUUCGAUGCAGGGUUGCCGUGAAUCUUCAAUUUGUAAAAAACACAAUACCUGCGAAGCAUAAUAAAGUGAAAUGCAAUAAAACAAGGUAUACCUGUAAACAACUCUAAAAUCAGUUAUUUACUCUUUUUUCCCUUCACCUGGAAUUCCUACCUGGUUAUCUCUAACUACAGUAAUCCCAUCCUUAAGAACUUGCUCAAAUGCCCCCUCCUCCAGGAAGUCCUCAUGAUCACCUCCACCCAAAAGAGCUCUUCCCUGGAGACAGAGGGAGGGCAGGCACAAAAAAGACAGUUUGUCUCCUUUAUAGUUUGACCUCACAUAAACUUUGGUGUCCUGGGAAGAAUAAUGCCAACAUUUCCACACUAUACAUGUGGAAAUGGCUUCAAACUCAUAUAAAUCUUUGGUUUAAUAACCAUAUAUAAAUGCAGUUAGAGAGAGGGAGGAUGAGGGAGAUUUAAAAAUAAGAGGCCAACGGAGAGGAGGCUAUUAAACUAUGUGGCAAUGAUUUAUUGAUUGAGAAAUAAAGGGAAUUCCUCUCUGUCUUCUUCUAAAUGAUCGGUUUCCAACUUCUAAACACUCCCAGAUGUGGAAUGCAUGUUUCUUCCUUCCAUUCCUCUCUGCAGGCUGCCCUGACAUUUGUUAAAUUGGCUCCUGGGUCCUGGUUUGCAAAUGUUGCCACUUUGAGAUCCGUAGAUGGUCAUCCCUGGCUCCCUUGGGGAGUGUCCUGGAAUCCACCAGCUCCAUCUGCUCGACAAGAGACUUGAGUUUGUUCUGUUACCUCUUUCAUCAUUAGCCAAAGCUCCGGGACUUGGUUAAAACUUUAGGCAAUUAAAAAGACUGACUUAUGGAGAUAGUAGUGUUUUCACUAUAUCGUCCCUGCUUGAAUUUAUGUUCUUGAAUUCCAUUAACCUGAAAUAUAUCAAAAUACCAAGAUGUUAUGAAGAAUGGGAACAAAUAUAGAAAAGUGAAAA